AUUUGGUUUGGGGCCCUUCGCGGGGUACCCUGCUGAACCAAACUCCGAAUACCGGUAGAACUAUCUCGGCAGUGAGUCCGCGGGGGAUAAGCUCCGCGGUCGAGAGGGAAACAACCCAGACUACCUGCUAAGGUCCCGAAGUCGUGCUAAGUCACUAAGGAAGUUGAAUUGCUGUGACAACCAGGAUGUUGGCUUAGAAGCAGCCAUCAUUUAAAAAGUGCGUAACAGCUUACUGGUCGAGCAGUUCUGCGCCAAUAAUGAACGGGAGUAAGUACGACACCGAAGCAGUAGAUUUAUGGUAGGAGAGCGCCGCUGAGCAGAUACAAGCCGUACCGGAAGGAGCGGUGUUGGGUUCAGCGGGUGAUUAUGCCGGAAUGAGUAACGAUAAAACAGGUGAGAAUCCUGUUCGCCGCAAACCUAAGGUUUCCUGGGGAAGGUAAUUCCGCCCAGGGUUAGCCGGUACCUUAGUUGAGGCCGAAAGGCGUAGACGAUGGAGAGCAGGUUAAUAUUCCUGCGCCGGAUAUGUGGACCGAUGGGGGGACGUUGUGUAGAUUGUGAUCGGGCUGACAGAAAUGCCCGUAGGGGAAGACAAGGCUGUGGAUAGGAAAAUCCGCCACAUCAAGCCAAGGCUUUCACUCGAGUCCAAUGAUGACGAAGUCAUAUGACGCAUAACCAAGAAAAGCCUCUAAGGAUUGAAGCAUAUCUGACCGUACUAAAACUGACACAGGUAGGUGAGGCGCGUAGCCUAAGGCGCUCGGGAAAACGCUGGUUAAGGAACUCUGCAAAAUGACCCCGUAAGUUCGCGAUAAGGGGUGCCUCCGAUGGUUCACGCUAUUGGAGGUCACAGUAAAUCGGCUCUGGCGACUGUUUACUAAAAACACAGGACUCUGCGAACUCGUAAGAGGAUGUAUAGAGUCUGACUCCUGCUCGGUGCCGGUAAGUUAAGGAAGAGGGUUAGCCUUUGGGCGAAGCUCGCAACCGAAGCUCCGGUAAACGGCGGCCGUAACUAUGACGGUCCUAAG
Molecule: ribosomal RNA, 1022 nt
Filed under: Durinskia baltica
Lineage: Eukaryota; Dinophyceae; Peridiniales; Kryptoperidiniaceae
Description: partial Bacterial large subunit ribosomal RNA
Rfam family: Bacterial large subunit ribosomal RNA
Source: RNAcentral